CUCCCUUCACUAAGUUGAGCUUCAUCUUUUAAAUUCAGGGAUGAAGGCAAGGAUAUGCUGAUCAAGGAUAAUGAAUAGGAGGGUUAGGGGUAUCUGGGGCACACUUGUUAAUUUUUAAAAAGUGUGUGUUUUGAGCAGCCAUUUCAAAGAGGAAUGGCUCAUGACAGACAGCUACAGGAAAAUGUUCUGUUGAAGGAGAGAAUGUUGAUAAUAGGUGGUACCACUGCAGGGCAGAGGUAGCAGACAUAUGGUGCAGGGAAGGGAGAACAGGAGCAGUAUUGCUACAAUUCACCCCACACCUGCAUACAAUAGUCUUGGAAGUCAGCCAGUGUUACUUCUGCAACAUUUCUUGUACCCACCUUUUUCUUCUCUGGAAAUGAAGACCUCUUUUUUUGUUACAGCAGUAGUUUAUCAACAUUUCUUGCUAUGAGUUACCUCCUGUUCUUAAACUAUGUCAAGACAACUGUUUUUACCAGUUGUGCACGUGAUAAUUUAAAAAGCCAAACAUAUGUUUAAAAAGUCAAAUCUAUAUCUAUCUGUAAUUAUCUAUAAUAAUGUAAUUACCUUUCUUGUACUGUCAUAUACUUAAAUGGGAUAGAAUUGACUACAGGAAAAGCUAAAGCUCAUGAAUUGUUUAUCUUCAUAUAAACUUUACGUAGCAAAAGGAAAAUGAUUGAGAAUAACAACCUUCAGGAGAAAAGUCCAAAUUUCAGACUACUGACCUCAACACAACUUUCUGGAAUCUCUUUUUUACCCUUAUUCCUGCAAAAUGGGUUCAUCCACAGAGGGCUACUCACUUCUCCCAUAUAUUUGCAUACCUCUGAGACUUCGAAUAUCCUAGUCCUCCUUUCCCCACUAUGACUAUGAACAUUCUUAUUUUAAGAUACACUACUUAAUGACCCACUCAGACUUCUCCAGGUACAGCUAACACCACCAUAUUCCUUGGUCGCACUAUAAUAAAAUGAAUCCUACGUGGACUCUUCCUUCCUACCACUCAUGAACCCUAAACUUUAAGGAAGGCCCUGCACCUUCAGACAGCUCCUUAUCACAGUACAGUGCCUGGCUGAUAGUGUUCUGUCAAUGGUCCUUCAAAUAGAGAUGGACCCAGCAGCAACAAAACAUCUAGUCCUAAAGGACAUUAAAGAAUUCAGGUUGUUUACAAGGCUGAUUCAUUGAACUUACUCCAUGAACUUCUAUUUUAAAAGAUCUUCAAGUAGAGAAAUCUUGUAAUUUUCACAGUAACACUUUAAGGCAUCAAAUAGCCCUUCUUCAAACUUUUCUUUUAUGCAGGAAAUACUCAGAAAAUUUUACAAAAUGGAUGCCUAAGCCAAACAUGGUGGUACACACCUGUAAUCCUAGCACUUGGGAGGCUGAGGGAAGAGGAUUGCUGCAAGUUCGAGGCCAGCCAGGGCUAUACAGUGAGUUCAAGUCCAGCCUGAACUACAUAACAGAAAAGAAUGGCUAAAUUAUCAAAAUAUAAAUUUUAUACUUAUCAAGGGUCUUCUGAAAAGCACUGUAAUCUAAUGAAGAAAACAUGUCUUACCUGACAUUCCUAAUAUUUUCAAUGUUUUUAAACUCAUUUCUUUUUUGUUUUCCUUUUUAAACUCAAAGAAUUCAUUCAUUUAUUUUUCCUUUCUUAUUUGUUCCUGAUAUUUUAUUAGUUUUAAGGUCUUCAAUGUUGAUUAGAUCCCCAGUUUGAAUAUACAAAAUUCCUUGAACAUCUUUUUUAAAGUCUUAAAUCUCUAAGCAAUGCACAAAUUUUCCUUUCUCUUAAAUAAGAAAGAUGGCAAAGUUCUCCAGAAUCCCUAUAAAUAAAUAUACACUUGGCAAUUAAGAUGCUCAAAAUUUUUCUUGCUUCAGAGACCUGAGGACCUCUGACUACAUGCAUACCAAUGGAGUUCCUUCAUUUUGGUAUACGUGUAAUUAAUGUUUUUUAAUAUAUCCAGUAAAUCUCAAGAGCCCCAAGGAGCUACUAGCAGAUGAAGCAGGAUAUUUAUGGGAAAGCUUUAUAAUAUGUUGCAAUAGGAAUGCAUAGAGGUUAUUCCAUGAACUCUGGGAAAUUAGAUGGACUCCAGAAAAGAGUGGGAACAUAAGGUGACAAAUAAUCUCCUUGAGAGUUAGGAAUUAAGAGUGAAGAAGAAUAUAUAUAUAUAUAUAUAAAGAUCCUAAGAGGUGUAAAUGAAAUGCAAUGAACCAGAAGCUACCACACCUAACUAUUUUGAAAUGCUUCAAAGUUUAUGAAAGAUCUAUUAUAUGUUUAAGUCUAUAACUUUUCAACAGAUAAAAAUAUCACCCUAAAUUUGAAACUAUAAGAUAGUCUAUUUAAAAAUAUACUAUUCCAGCCCUUGAAAGGCUGAGGCAGAAGGAUCAAAAAUUUGAGACCUUGUCUCAAAAUCAACCAAUCAAUCCCAUUUCUUCCAAGUAAGGAGAAGAAAAAAAUCACAUAAUACAAGUAAACACACAAGUUAUUUCACAAUAUUUAACUUCAGCAAAGCUUAUUAUAUCAAAAAAUGAACUUUCAAAUCAUUAGAUUUAUAUUAACAUAGUCAAGAAUAUAUAUUGAGCAUUGUAUUGGUUAUAUGUGGUAUAGGAUUAUAAGGACUGGGUAGCGGCCCUUACCCUUGAAGAGUUCACAUUACAGUAACAGAUGGGGCACUCUUUGUUUUAGACAUGUGUGUUCAAUUUUCUAUAAUAUUUAGACCAAUUUUUCUCCAUAUUUUUCAUGGAACAUCAAUCCUAUUAGAAGGGCAAAUAUAUUUGUAGAACAGGAUAUACCCAGAGGAUACCACAGAAGGAUAUUAAAGGUCCUGAGAUAUCUUGUAGUAAAGAAAUUUAACUUUACUUGGCAUUUUCCAAGAUUAUGUAACUGCACAAUCUUUUUGACUUAAUGCCUAUAAAUAAGUUAUGGCACCUUUUGGGAAAUGCUGAUUUGGGCACACAACUUUAAAAACACAUUCUUAUAUAUUUCCCAAGGCACUGAAAAUACAAACUUUUAAUAACUUACAUUUUUAGAAAAUAAAUGAAAGAGCAAAUUUGUAAAUUCUUGAGAAAGUAUUAAAAUUUAAAGCAUAAGGUUAAGGGAUAGAGGGAGGAUAACAAUAGAAUACUGUUUUAAAGCAGCACACAUCAUUUGUAACUGAAAAUUAUGCUUUAUGAAGACUACAAAUACCACUAAAAUUUUUAAAAACAGAUGAAUUAAAGAUAUAAUUCUUUGAUUAAAAUCUCCUUUAUGUGAUUAUAGACUGUUUAGACUGUUUCAAAAAAGAUCUUAAUCUGAGACAAAUUUUAUUUACUAUAUAUUCUUAAUUACAUACAGAGGAAAGGCUUUACAUUCUCUAUAUUCCAUCUGUUAACUUAAUUUUUCUGCCCUUUUAUGAAUUUUAAGUUCCUAUUUGCUUUUUUGCUUGAUGCUAACUAAUGGAAUUCUGUAUUUAGGCACUUUUGUUUAUUUUUUAUUUUUUUAAAAAGCAAGCUCAAAAGAGGAAAAUGUCCACUUUUCCCUGAAGCUGCAGAAAAACAAAUAGAAUUCUGUUCUAUAUUGUAGGACAUUUAAAACAAAAUAGUACUGUCAGCCUGGAUUUCAGAGUUGCUAUAUCCUGUAAAAAUAGCUUAUGAUAAAAUCUGUAAUUCUGACCUACUUAAUAAUUUGUGGCCUUGUUACUAUUUUUUAAAGAAAUUCUGAUUUUUUAAAGUUUCUUUUGCAAAUUUAUAGAAAAAAAAUCAUUUCAUAUCCCUCUUCUUGGAAAUAUAUGAUCAUGCACCUAUACCCACCUUUAAGUUAUUUAAGGAUUUUUGGCUACCUAAUCUUAAUAGGUGCUAAGACCAAAACAAAAUGCAACAAAUAUUUAUGUAUAAUAUUGAAGAGGAAACUGAUUAACUUGGAGAAAAAAAUAAUUGGUCUAUGAAAAUGCGUAUUUCCUUUCAACAGAAAGCAGUAAAAAUUUUUGCUUUCCCAUAUUCCUCCUAGGUGGAAAGUGCUGUCCUCAUUUGAGAUUAUCCUUUUAUUUCCCAAAAGUCAUUAACUGAAUGAUUCUCAAGCUUUUGGGUAGUUUCUGACGAUAGAUAAUUAUAAAAAUAACAAAGGUUCCUCAUUUUUGGAGGACAUAGCUAGCAGGCCUUUUAUCUCCUCUGCUGGGGCUAUUACAAACUAUUACUAAACUAAGGCUAUGCGAAUUUUUAUUCACAGGCAUCACUGUCCUUAUCUUCAUUAAUCAACUGGUUUCCUUGCUAACUCAUUCACAUGUUACUCUUCUUCUAGAUCAAGGCUGUAAACUAAACAAAGAGAAUUAAUGAAUAAAAUAAUUUCCCUUGAGAGUUCUUUAUAAAUUCAGGUUAAUAUUAUAGAUGCAUGGCUCAUAAGUUUUCAAGAUUAUACGUACUUUUAUAGGGUGCGUAGAAACAUAAUGUAACAGCUGACAUGACUGUUGGCUACUGCUAGGUUUGGAAUAAAAUUUUGCUAUUUAUAAUAGUCAGGUAAUAUACUUUAUUAAGAAAUAUUAGAGGAAUCUGUGAAGUCCUACAGAUUUUUCAGCCUUUGCAACCCCUCCAUAUGGAAACAAUAGGGAUGGUAUAAUUUUCAAUUGGGAUUCUAAAGAGACUGAACCAAAAUGGCCAGGUACACUGUACAUUUUUGUUUUUAGGGGGGGGGACCGGGGAUCAAACUCAGGACCUUGUGCUUGUGAGGCAGGCAGUGACACCAUGGAGCUAAAUCCCUGGUCCUACAUUUUCCUUAAGAAAUCGUCAGCCAUCAGACCGGACUUUUCAGUGGAAAAGUCCACCAGUGGGAGACAUGACCUAUGGCCCAACUCUCACCUCAGGGAGCCUUUUCAUAUAUCCUGUUGCCACUUGGCAGGUACAAGAUAUUUUGUCUCAGAUCUAUGCUUUAUGUUAAAGUUGUUCAUCUCAUCUAUCAAAUAAUUUAUCAUUAAUCUUUGCUUUCUUCUAUACAAAGAGGUGAGAAGAAAGUUUCUUGAGCACUUGCUACUUGACUCACCACACUAGUAGUCCAGGUUACAUGUACUUCCUUGACAUCAUCCAGACAGUUGAUAGACCUUCUAUUCUAACCCAGUAUGAAAAAUUCAACCCCUUCCAGACCUGUUCCAAGUUGAGUUGAUCACGAAGCAACAGAGCUUUAUUUGCCUGUCAGUAGGAAAGUUGUGCCUUUAUCCUUAUGUUCUCCCUUAGUACAAUCCAACUUUUGCUUUCAUGCUUUGAGGUUUGGCCUUGGCCACUUUUGAACUAGGUAUAAAGACAAUAGAACUUUUAAGGUAGAGCUCUGAAAACCUUCCUGCAAGGAAUCUGUUCAAUCACUUUCUUGGAAAAUAAAUCCUUACUUAAGACCUGUCCCUCAACUUAGGAGAAAAUAGAAUUGUUAAUCUCUCACCAGAGAAGACUGGCAAAUGAGCACUACUAGAAUGGCAAGUGCAUGACACUAUGAGCACUAUGAGGGUUGCUUCUCGAUACCUGUCCUAGUCUAUUCAGGUUACAAUAACAAAAUACCACAGACUGUGUGGUCUAUGAACAACAGAAAUUUAUUACUUACAAGUCUAGGGACCAGGAAGUCCAAGAACAAGAUGCUGGAAGAUUUGUUUGGUGAGGGUCUGUUUCCUAGAUUGCAUAUUUGCUGUGUUGUAAUAACCUCUGUUGGCUGUUGUUAGCUAUAGCCUCAUAGGACAGAAAGGGCAAAUCAAUUUUCUGAGGUCUCUUUUAAAAGAACAGUAAUUUAUGAGGGUUCUGCCUUCAAGAUCUAAUCAUCUUCCUGAGACCACCAACCUCCUAAUACUAUCUCCUGAUACCAUUUCCUCAGUGUUAGGAUUUCAACAUAUGAAAGGGGAGCAGAAUGGAUACAAACAUUCAGAUCAUAGCACUGCCCUACCCUUCUUGGACAUCCUGGCUUUGAUACUGAACCCCAGUUACAAGGUAAAGAUCUUAUAAGGCUGAAAAAGUUAACAUUACUAAAAAUGAUAAACAUAUACUUAGUUAUUGCUCUUAAAUUCUUGGUGAUGAAAACUCAAAGUUAUAAUAACAAUGCAUUCCUUAAAUGCUGGGUCUGUUGUCAAUUGCCACAAAACAUUAAGGGAGAAACCUCUAGCAUAUCAAUUGCUUUCAUCUGAAAAACAUGUGCAAUGUUUGGACAGCUGGAGGUAAAAUCUUUUAAUGUUCCGAGUAUGGCACUGGUUUAUCACAGUAAAAUAUGUGGGAAAAUAUGGAAGUACUUGCCUUACAUUUAGCAAGUGAUGUUCCUGAACUCUUGCACUAUGUUGAUGGGAAGUGAGCUGUUAUCUAUCCCAGGCUGCACUAAAAAUGCUAUCUUGCGCUUUUGAUACUGGGUGAAAUGUCCAGCUUUCAUUUGUGUCUUUAAGAGAGCAAGAUAACUUGCAAAGAUUCCUAUGUCAUUUGUUGAGGCAGUGCUCACUCACAGUCAUAUACAAUUGGCCUGGUUUUCUAUCUUCCAAUAUUUGGGGCAGGGAAUGGUUAAUGCCUGUGAAGCAAAAUGAUUUGGGGAAAUAACAUUCUCAUCAAGUACGGAUAUACACAAUCUUAGAUCAAAAACUAUUAAAAUAAGGCUACAAUAAGACUGUAUCUCUGAAUCUGCUCCAUACUGAGAGGAUGGCUAUUGUACUACAGUCUGGUAGAAUCACACAGCUUAGAUUUCAAUUUAGCCAGGAAAGGAAAGGUGUAUGUUCUCAUUAGCAAGGAAUGAGAAGCAUGUAAAUUCAAAGCAUGUAAAAACAGUUUUGCCAAGUUGCACUACACUGAGAGCUAAGAUCUACUUAAAAGAGUUGGUAGCUUUUUAUGUUAUUUAGCAGUUACAAAAUUGUGCAAGGUACUACAAUGAAGCUAAAAAUAUUAGUCUAUAUAGAUGUGGCACUAAUAUUUAUUAAAAUGUUAUAUAGAUUGUCACUUUAAAAGACUAAUUUCAAAUGUUGUUGCCUGAUUACUAAACAAGUAGUGCACACUGGCAAAAAAAAAACAACAAAAAGCAAAACCUAAGGAUACAUGAGGGAGUUCAUGCAGAUUCUAACUUAAAGUUUUGUUAAGGAGUACCAAACUCCAUAUUUAAGCUCAGUUUUUCCAAUAAUUCUCUAAAGAAAGAUCUUUUAGCUUACUCUACCAUAAUUCCAUUUUUAUUUUGCUUAUUUUCUGCCUUUUUCACUGAUCAAUUAUUUCUGCUUAAACUUUUAUACACUAUUCUUUAAAUUAUAAAUGAGUGAGAUAAAUUUAUGGCUUUAUGGAUAUUUGCUUAGCAAUUAAACUAACUCAAUUCUAAAAAUUAGAUUUUAUUAGCAAGACAGAAAAAAUGUUUAGUAGAAAAACAUUGACUUGGGAGCCAAGAGGCAUAUAACAAAAUGUUUACAUUUUAGGAAUGAGCUCAGCAUAUAACUUAAAUCAAGUGCAUCGGCCUAAUUAUUGGAGCCUGAGGAAAGCACAUGUUUUCUCUCAAAUAUGUUCAAAUAUCUUUUAAUUCAGUAGAAAGUGGACCAAAGGGAAAAAUCUUAACAUUAACAUGUAUAUAAAACAUGAGGGCCGGGAAUUUAGCUCAGCGGUGACGCGCCUGCCGGCAAGUGCAAGUUCAAUGCUCAGUACCACUGCUCCCCCCAAAAAAACUCAUGAUGGGAUGCUACCCACUCCUUGGCCCAAAACAAUGCAUGAAUUGUGGGUUUUAAAUAAUAAUAAAUAUGCAUACAAGGAUCUAAUUACCUCUCAAAGAGGACAUAGAAAUAAUACGAUAUCCACGGAGUAAUUUGAAUACGUGUAGCUUUGGACUGAAUUUUAGUUUUCGGGUUUUUUUUUUUGGUAUGGGGUUUGAACUUGGGACCUUGCAGUUGCAAGGCAGGUGGCGGCACCACUGAGCUAAAUCCCCAGCCCUAGUAUCUUUUUUUUAAAGGUUAUAAUUAAUAUUAUUGAAGUUUGAAUUAUACGUUGGGCCUACAGACAACAGAAGAGACUGAUGUGGGACAGAGAAGCCUGUGAAUGAUCUUUACAAAGUCUGGGCCAACUGCUCAGGUUCGCUCAUCAAACACUGCCACAAAACACAAAGAGAUGACAGUAUGGCCCUGGCUAUAACACUGGAAACUUCCUAUUGAAUAUUACCCAUGAACACAGCACAUACUGCUAACUCACACAAUGGUAAUAAAUUCAUAUGUAUCCCUAGGCAUUCCCAGUUAGUUGAAGAAUUAUAUUUGGAGUAUACUUUUAAUUAAUGUAAUCUCUUAAACAUUCAUUUUCAAUGAGGGCAAAAUUUAAAAAGUCAUGUGCAUUUAACCUAAACUUUUCUUUAAGGAUCUACUGUAUGUAGUUCUUUAGAAAUUUUUGUUUGCUAUACUUCUUUCAAUCUGAUAAAGUGGUAGUCCUUAACAAAACUUAAAAAUGCCUUUUCCUCCUCGCCAACAAAAUGCAAAAUAAAAAGCAACACCUGAAGUGAACUUCCAUACUUACUACACACUUAUCUUCAGCAAAAAGAGCUUUCACUUUUUGGGUACAUGCCUACGGAGACCUCUGCCCCAGAAAAGUGCAAGUAAAUAUACCUUGUUUCACAGGCUUCAUGGACUCCUUGAACAUCACAACUAGAUCACAAGUUGACACGCUUACUUAGCUCAGAAUAUACUGUUAUUUCAAGUCCUCAGAAAUUGAGACCCAUAACAGGGAUACUGUAGGAAGAAGGAUAUCUGCCAUAGGCACAAACCCAUCCAGUGUGGUAUAGUUGUGGUAUUACUAUUAUUUGGUGUCCCAGCUUUAAUGGAACAGAAAAACAACUGAGAUUAACAAAUGGCAGUGUAAAGGAUGAAUUUAUUUCAGUGGGAAGAGAGUUAAGUCUUGAAUAUCUUUUAGAAAAUGUUAAAGCUUCUUUGCGGCUUCCAGAGAAAAAAGGAGGGCCUUCAUUCAGCCUCUACUUAACCCUGAGUAUCUUAAAUAGGAAUUGUCUUUCAAUGUAGUUAAAAUGAACAGAUGUUGGAAACAGGAUCUACACUCAUUUAUUUAGGUGAUCAAUAACUACUGAUGGGUAAGUGUUAUUAAUAUUAGUAUGGUUAAUAAAAGGAAAAAUUGAUAAUGAAAAUGUAUUUAAAAACUCUGAAGUCUUCAUCUUUGUUCAAAGUACAUGGAGGCAUUGUAUUAACUGCAAAAAAAAAAUUAUGUCAGUUGCUUUGUACUCCCACAGAACUACUUCUCAGUGCACUAUCACACAAAGAUUAUUCUAGAAUACUUUCCAGUUCUACACACUAAAAAUCAUGUUAAGGAAUUAUAGCAUCUUGGGCCGGGGAUAUAGCUCAGUGGCGCUGUGCCUGACUGGUAAGUGGAAGGUCCUGAGUUCGAUCCUUGGUACCAAAGGGGGAAAAAAAUUAUAGUAUCUUUAAAAUGUUUUCACUGAACCAUUGGUUAGAAUUUUCCUUAAUAUACAGCAAUAAGCUUCAACAAUUUACACUGGUGGUGGCUGAAUUUCCAUUCUGAUACUAUAUAUGAAGAGUUAGUAAUAUUUUCAGAGAAAAACAACAGGUAAGUAAAUUCAAUUAUUAUUAAGUCAACAUUACUCUGACUCAUGUAAUUAUGAAGGAAAAACUGCAUAUACUUUUAUGAAACCUAAUUAUUACACAUUUGCAUUUCAGCCUGAUUCUCAUUUCAUUGUUUUGUCAACAAGACUGCCAACUCCUUAAGCUUUACAGCUAGUCAAGAAUUAAAUCUGCAUUAAAUACAGAAUUAAUUUGUCUUUGGGGUUUAAUUUUUUUAAUUAAUAGCAAAAUACAAUGUCAAGAAGAGUCAAUGUACCAAAAAAUUGAAACAGAAAACCAAAAUUCAUUAAAACAAUUUGUUUGUUUGCUCAGUAGUAUAUUUUUUUACAUUCACUGAGCAUUCCCUUGCCUUUCCCAUAAUUAGAAAGUUAAUUAUUGAAAUCAUAUUUUUGUGGCUCUGAGUUUUCAAAAAUGUGAUUUAGAUGCUUGUUAUUAACAUUACAGCAGUUUGAGCAAUACUAAUACUAACACUGAUCCUAACACUAAUGUGAUGCUGUUUGUACAUAAUUAUAUUUAAUUGCCCCUAUUCUGAACAGGAAUUUGAAUUUGACUCUGUUACAGAUCCUGCUUAAAUAUUAAAAAUAAGAACUCUGUGGUCUGAAUAUUUAUUACAACCUUUAUAGCUAGGAGUUAAGAAUAAUCUAGUACAGGGUACACUUGCCUUCACUUCCACCUCUUGCUUGAGGUAGCCAAUCAAUAUUUACUCAGUGAUUUGUAAUCUGCAUUGAUAAAAAUAAGUAAUCGCUUGGUUUAGUAUUUAUGCUCUUCUGAAGUUUUCAGAAGUGCUCGAAAGUGUUAGAAUACUUCAAAGUGUAUAGUGAGCAGUCAGUAUGAGGACCUUUUGUGAUUAAAAUAAAUUAAAUAAAUAAUUCACAAAUAUGGUACAUCAAACCCAUAGCAAUGUUGAAAUUCAGAAUGAGGUAAAUGACAUAAAGAACAACUAAGACUAAUUCUCCAUCAAAAGGACACCGUGGGGGGGGGGGGUCAGUGGUUCCGCCGCCUGCCUCGCAAGUGCAAGGUCCCGAGUUUGAUCCUCGGUAACAAAAAAAAGUACACCUGGGAAUGCUACUCCUCAAGUGUAUUAUUAUGAUUUCCUAACAUUUAAUUUUUUUUGGGGGGGGGGAGGUACUGGGAUCGAACUCGGGACCUGGAGCUGGUGAGGCAGGCAGUGGAACUAAUGAGUUUAAAUCCCCAGCCCUCCUAAUAAUAUUUUAGUUAAGCCUUAUUAAAGUAUUUUCAAUUGAAAAUUAUCACUUAAAAAAUAAAUCAUAUUGGGUGACAUAUAUACAAAGAAUACCUUUAAUAGCUAAUGAAAAGCUUAAGAUCCCAAAAAAGUUUAUCAGACCUUUUGGGUCAAAUCAUUCAGAAAUCUGUAAAUUGCAGAUUCAGAGUAUCUGCAUUAAAACUGCCCUAAUUUGCAGUGGAAUAAACUCUUUCCUCACCUUUAAAAGCUUAGUUAUUAAUACUCCUUAUAAUCACCAUUAUAAUAGAAAGGUUCUAUGAUUCAAAGUUGUAAUCAAAUUUUCAAAUAAGACAACCCAUAUAAAAAAGCUUAGCAUAUUAUAGACAAGAGCAGUAAAGCCAUGAAAGCAUUCUCACAUCUUAUCAAUAGUACCUUUCUUCUUAAUAUCUUUCAAGAAAUAUCAAUGUAACUUGAUAUUUCAAUUGUUCAAACAAUUUAGCCAUUUUUUUUACCUCAGAGUAACCUAAAAUCCAAAAAUUUCUCCAAUGAGUUAACAUACAAUUUAUCAUUUGUCAGCUGUUAAAAUCACAUACCUGAAACACCUGAAUUUGAAACUGGGUUCAGUUUUUUGAAAUUUAAUUCAAAGAGGAAAUUGUUAAUUUAUCACAAUUUCUUGACUAAACAAAACAAAAACUGUUGCUAUUAAUCAAUGAUUUGCAGUUAUUGUUAAAAACUCUUUCAUUUCUUCACAACAUAACGGCUUUGCAUAAUUUCUCAUCAGAACAGGAAAGCACACAAAUUGAUUCUCCACAAUUUUCACUAUUACUGGUAAGUUUUUAUAGGAAUAGUUUUCAUUAAUGCUUGAAAACUGAGCUAUAUUUUACUUUAUAUCUUAUCAAGUUAGUUGGAGAAUAUCUAUUGUGGUAAAACUGUCAGCACACCUAACAUUUUUUUUCCAGGAUCUACCUGCUCUAUGCUGCCCACUAUAGGAAAUGUAAUUUGGUAAUAAGAAAUGCAGGACUACAUAUUAGCUUACUUUAGGGCAAAAAAAUUCCCUGGCUACUUAGAUGCUAAGAUACAGUGUUCUUGCAAGGGAUACAGACUGAUUAGUGGUAACCAAAUUUAUUAAAUGUAAGGGACAUCAGUAGGAACAGACAGGACCAGAAACUGUAUCUUGGUGAUCCAUACACCAGCAGUAGCAACCGGGUGAGGCAGGAGAUGGGGCGUGGAAUUUACUGAAGGAGCAGCCUCCAGAAAGCUGCAGGCAGCGCUGGAGUAAAUUUUAGGGUCAACAUCAGAUAAACAAACACUUCGAAAAAAGUCUUGCAAACACAAACGAUUGCUGCAAUUGGAAAACAUUUAAAGUCAAAUAUUCCUGUAAUUCCUGUAUAGCAGAUUUAUUUCAUCAGACAAGUCUUCUCCCUUUACACCCAAUAAUCUUAGGAGCAAAUAGCAUUACUAGCUAACUUUUGUCUUGCAAUUUCUAACCACUGUAAAACUGAACCUUGUAGUAAUCUGAUAAACAUCAAGCUUUAUAUGCUUAUGUUUUCGCUUUGAGUAGAGUAUAUCUAUCUAAAUGGUUAAGGAGUUAAAUUCUAUCAUAUACUUGAGGACUCCAUUUUGAAGAUUACAGUCUCUUCUGUAAUGUUCAAAUCAAUUCUCUAGUUUCAUAUCAAAUCUUAAAAACUUUAAAAAGGAGUUAAAAUAUUAGUGUCACUCUUAAGUCUUUAGCUUUUGAUAUUUGCCCUGAAAAGCAAAACACAUAUUAUGUUUGUAGCUUACACGCUUACACACACACACACACACACACACACACACACACAAAUAGCAGUCAGUGGCUUAAAAGUGGAAACCUCCCCUGCAAAGUAAAAACAGGUCACCCCUCCACUCUGAAUUGGAAAUAAAGGUGACUAGGCUUGCCCAUUGCAGACUGAUACUGGAAAAAUACGCUCUUAACGUCUAGCCUGAAACAGUAAUAGCACACAAUCCUAGAUCUCGACUCUGACACCUUCUAUUCCAGGUUGGAGGCCUUCGUCCCAACCACAGCCCCGGAGCACCAUCCCGGCUGGGCAUCCACUCGUCCCGCCCGCUCCGGCCCGAGUCGCUGGGCAGUGGCCUCUGGGGCUCCGAGGGUCACGAUGCAGACGAGGAGACCUACAGACUCCGGCGUCUAAAAACUCGCGAAAAGUCUUCCUGUACGGGUGGCGGGGCCACGGCCACCGCUGCUACAUCGCAUCAGCCGGUCCACGACCCCUCGGAUCCCAGUCAACGGCCAGGAGCGUGAAGAGCAACCAAAGCCACCAAGAUGCCGCGUCAGGUUCCCGGAGCUGUCAUCCGGAGCUUUCCUUUCUCCCCUUAGUUAAAAUUACCAGGGCGGCUUCUACCGCUUCCUUUGAGAAAAUGAAAAAGUGAAAAAGUGUAGAGGUGACAGUUCCCGAGCAAGGUGGUCUUUCAGCCUCCAUCCCUCAGGCCGGCUUUCCAAGCUCGGAAGCAUUCUCAGCGGAGGUAUUCCAUGUUGACAGAUCUCUCACCUCCCACAAAAUGGGGCCGAGGAGGCGGCCGCUCUCUCCUCUAUGGGCGCCGCCAUUUUGUGAGGCGGCGGCGGCGGCGGCGGCGGUGGCGGCGCGGCGGCAGGAGCCCGGGGUGUGUGUAAUGGUUGAAUAGAAUGACCCCCUCUAGGGAAUCCCCGGCACUGACAG
Molecule: long non-coding RNA, 13391 nt
Filed under: Heterocephalus glaber (naked mole-rat)
Lineage: Eukaryota; Metazoa; Chordata; Mammalia; Rodentia; Bathyergidae
Description: lncRNA (ENSHGLG00100043135.1)
Source: RNAcentral